RNAcentral lists this ribosomal RNA (263 nucleotides) under uncultured bacterium. RNAcentral describes it as "partial 16S ribosomal RNA". It matches the Rfam family "Bacterial small subunit ribosomal RNA", at positions 793 to 1055 of the family's 1533-position model. The record is from RNAcentral.
GUCCACGCUGUAAACGAUGGGCACUAGGUGUUCGGGGUAUUGACCCCCGAGUGCCGCAGCUAACGCAUUAAGUGCCCCGCCUGGGGACUACGGCCGCAAGGUUAAAACUCAAAGGAAUUGACGGGGCCCGCACAAGCGGUGGAGCAUGUGGUUCAAUUCGACGCAACGCGAAGAACCUUACCUGGGCUAGACAACAUCGGACACCCCUAGAAAUAGGGUCUUCCCGCAAGGGACUGGUGGUUCAGGUGCUGCAUGGCUGUCGU